CUAAAGGCCCUUUUUGGGGCCACCUUGAUGAUGAGAGCAGGUUAC
This is a non-coding RNA of Anolis carolinensis (green anole), 45 nucleotides long. Lineage: Eukaryota; Metazoa; Chordata; Lepidosauria; Squamata; Anolidae. The record is from Rfam.